This is a long non-coding RNA of Vespa velutina, 891 nucleotides long. RefSeq lists it as uncharacterized. The transcript has 2 exons. NCBI's taxonomy places the organism in Eukaryota, Metazoa, Arthropoda, Insecta, Hymenoptera, Vespidae. The record is from RefSeq and is a predicted model, not a curated record.
GUAGACGAUAAAAAAGAAAAUUGUACUUAAGAAAAGUUAAUGGAAACGAGAGAGGACAGAGAGAAAGAGAGAGAAAGAGAGAAAGAGAAAGUAGAAAAUGAAAGGGAUAUUCGUUUUAAAUACGAUAGCGAUAUAUGUAUUUCUAGCUACAGGCGCUUUUUUUGAUCAGAAUUAUGAAGAAUAUUCGAUCUAUUUUGGUACUUCCUUUCCUUUCCUACAUCUCGACUCCUCGGACAGUCAAAAACGUACAUACGUAAUCUUGGAGUUUUCUAUAUAUCGAAUUAAGAGUCACGUAGAACGAAAGGUCGGCACGAGAUGCAGGAAGGAGAUGGGAGAUAUAACGUCGAGAGAGAAAGAAAGAGGGAGAAAUAAAGUCUCUACAGCGAAGAUCGCGUAGCGAGGACAAACUGGCAUACCAAAGACAGACCAAGUCCAGAUGCUGUCUGUCUUACUAAAUGCGGCUGCAUGGAGAUCAUAGAGUACUUUGGGAUAUCCUGUCUCGGGGAAAUCGUUCGACAUGAAACAGGAAGUGGGGACAGAUCCUGUGCGAAGUCAUACUUUGAAAUCCCAGGGGUUAAAACGCUCCACAUCGUAUGCCUGUGUAUCGUCACUGUUAACUUCUUACAUUCCUACUCUUCCGUCCUUAAAUUUUUUCAUUUGUUUGAACAAAAAAGGCACUUUAUACCACACAUGAAUUUUGAAUGUGUGAAUUCAUUCAUAAUUAUUUAUUUUAAUCAAUUUAUAUCAUUUGCUAGAAACCAUAUUAAUAUAAGGAAAUUAAUGUCCCUUUUUCAGGCUAUUUUUCAAAUAUCCUAUUUGUAUAGAAUUUAAUUAAAAUUGGUUUUUAAUUAUGAGAUUAAAAUUUUUUUUAAAUGCAGAUACAAUAAGGUA